GUUUAUCAUCAGAAGACUUUUGGAAAAGUCACAUCACACCUACUUGCAUGUUGCAAUGAUGAAUCAAGACUCUGACCAAGAAAUGCAUCUCUUGAGAGUAAAAUUGAAUAACCAAGACUAGGAAGUGCGUCUCCUAAGAAUUAAAGUGAGGGAUUCUAACUAGAAAGUGCGUCUUCUAGAGAUACAAGUUUAAGUUAAAAAGUGUGCC
RNAcentral lists this long non-coding RNA (208 nucleotides) under Capsicum annuum. RNAcentral describes it as "long non-coding RNA (CANN_LNC018069)". Lineage: Eukaryota; Viridiplantae; Streptophyta; Magnoliopsida; Solanales; Solanaceae. The record is from RNAcentral.